Non-coding RNA from Cebus imitator (Panamanian white-faced capuchin), 1513 nucleotides. Lineage: Eukaryota; Metazoa; Chordata; Mammalia; Primates; Cebidae. The record is from the annotation of a RefSeq genome assembly.
UUUAGUACAAAACUUUAGCCUGUCCUUCCCUUCCAAUGCACCCUUUUUCACCAUCAUAAUACCUCAAGUUUAGUUAAGCAUACAUUUUUUACUGACUAUGCACAUCAUUCGAAGUCUGUUUUAAGUAGUCUCUGAAUGUGGAAAGUACCUAUUUUGUAACUCUUCUCAUUGCUUCGUUUUUUGUUUUAUAUCUACUGUUUAAUAUGACAAAUGUUUCAAAAAUAUUUACAACACCUUUUUCUUCUCUCUUUCUAAAAAUGUUUAAAGAGAAAGUUCAAGUUUCUUUUGACACUAAAGAUCAUUAUGGGAUGGGCUCCUAACAGACCCGACCUAGAGAAAAAUCAGUCUGAGUUAUCGUUUGGUCAGAGGUUUACACAGAAGCCAGCUCUAAAUUACUUCUAACGAGAAGAGCAAGUCUCCUCUUUUCUCCUGUCAUUUAUCUUCUCUUGCCUUACUCUUUUCUUCUAUUUGCUUUUUCUUAUCUCUCUUUUUUUACUUUUCUCCCCUCUUGAUGCAAAGCUGUAUUUUCCUUUCUUUUUCUGUGCAUUUUCCCAUCCUAUUUCCCUUGUUUCUGUCUCUGCAUUAUCUUAAGAGAGCACAAAUCAUUUACAAGUUGAUCCACUCGGCCUGAAUCUUACCCACUUUGAUUCACAAACUUCUAUUUCUCCUCCUUUGAAUCCCCAGUUUGCUCCGUAUGUCCCUCAUGGAGCCUGUAACCAUCCGAAGGUCGGCCCAGGGUUAAGAUCAGGAAGCACCAGCUACCAGACAGGUAAGUCGCUGUUCCUAUGUGUGGGCUCUAGGGGGCGAUGCAGCGUAAGAUCCGUCUUGGGUACAGGAGGAGCAGCAAGCUGUCUUGCUCCCCACAGAGCUUUGAGGAGCUGGACCAAAAGCGUGCUCAACAGAAGGAAGAUACUGGUGCCGGGAAGCACCAGGGCCCCGAGGCAGGGCCAUUUCUAAAAGCCCUGUGCCGACAGGGGUGCUGGUCCCUCUUCAAGAGCCCACUCUCUGGGGUGGGGCCGUAUCUGCAACAGAGGUGUACUGAGCAGCCAUGGCCUCUGCACGCAUCUCGACGCUUGGGAUGCUCUUCAUAUUGAGUGGACUGAGAGCUCAGUCGGUGGCUCAGCCGGAGGAUCGGGUCACGGUCGCUGAAGGGAAUCCUCUGACUGUGAAAUGUACCUAUUCAGUCUCUGGACUCCCUUAUCUUUUUUGGUAUGUUCAAUAUCCCAACCAAGGCCUCCAGUUCCUUCUGAAAUACGUCACAGGGGACAACCUGGUUAAAGGCAGCUGUGGCUUCGAGGCUGAAUUUAAUAAGAGCCAAACCUCUUUCCACCUGAAGAAACCAUUUGCCCUCGUGAGCGACUCCGCCUUGUACUUCUGUGCUGUGAGAGACACAGUGAUGGGGGCUGCAGCGGGAGCAGAACACAAACUCUUGAGUCUAGUACAACCCAUUUCUUGAAGUCUUUGUUCCUUUACAUGAGAGUGAUGUGGUUCCAGGAUGUGUCACUUAUUAUAA